This 761-nucleotide ribosomal RNA is filed under the name Prevotella melaninogenica. Its description in RNAcentral is "bacterial SSU rRNA". It matches the Rfam family "Bacterial small subunit ribosomal RNA", at positions 28 to 776 of the family's 1533-position model. Lineage: Bacteria; Pseudomonadati; Bacteroidota; Bacteroidia; Bacteroidales; Prevotellaceae. The record is from RNAcentral.
GAUGAACGCUAGCUACAGGCUUAACACAUGCAAGUCGAGGGGAAACGGCAUUAAGUGCUUGCACUUUUUGGACGUCGACCGGCGCACGGGUGAGUAACGCGUAUCCAACCUUCCCAUGACUAAGGGAUAACCUGCCGAAAGGCAGACUAAUACCUUAUGGUCUUCACUGACGGCAUCAGAUGUGAAGUAAAGAUUUAUCGGUUAUGGAUGGGGAUGCGUCUGAUUAGUUAGUUGGCGGGGUAACGGCCCACCAAGGCAACGAUCAGUAGGGGUUCUGAGAGGAAGGUCCCCCACAUUGGAACUGAGACACGGUCCAAACUCCUACGGGAGGCAGCAGUGAGGAAUAUUGGUCAAUGGGCGAGAGCCUGAACCAGCCAAGUAGCGUGCAGGAUGACGGCCCUAUGGGUUGUAAACUGCUUUUGUAUGGGGAUAAAGUCAAUCACGUGUGAUUGUUUGCAGGUACCAUACGAAUAAGGACCGGCUAAUUCCGUGCCAGCAGCCGCGGUAAUACGGAAGGUCCAGGCGUUAUCCGGAUUUAUUGGGUUUAGAGGGAGCGUAGGCCGUGGAUUAAGCGUGUUGUGAAAUGUAGACGCUCAACGUCUGAAUUGCAGCGCGAACUGGUUCACUUGAGUAUGCACAACGUAGGCGGAAUUCGUCGUGUAGCGGUGAAAUGCUUAGAUAUGACGAAGAACUCCGAUUGCGAAGGCAGCUUACGGGAGCACAACUGACGCUGAAGCUCGAAGGUGCGGGUAUCAAACAGG